UGGGGAAUAUUGGACAAUGGGCGCAAGCCUGAUCCAGCCAUGCCGCGUGAGUGAUGAAGGCCCUAGGGGUGUAAAGCUCUUUCACCGGUGAAGAUAAUGACGGUAACCGGAGAAGAAGCCCCGGCUAACUUCGUGCCAGCAGCCGCGGUAAUACGAAGGGGGCUAGCGUUGUUCGGAUUUACUGGGCGUAAAGCGCACGUAGGCGGACUAUUAAGUCAGGGGUGAAAUCCCGGGGCUCAACCCCGGAACUGCCUUUGAUACUGGUAGUCUUGAGUUCGAGAGAGGUGAGUGGAAUUCCGAGUGUAGAGGUGAAAUUCGUAGAUAUUCGGAGGAACACCAGUGGCGAAGGCGGCUCACUGGCUCGAUACUGACGCUGGGGUGCGAAAGCGUGGGGAGCAAACAGG
RNAcentral lists this ribosomal RNA (404 nucleotides) under Actinomycetes bacterium. Its description in RNAcentral is "Actinobacteria bacterium partial 16S ribosomal RNA". It matches the Rfam family "Bacterial small subunit ribosomal RNA", at positions 355 to 776 of the family's 1533-position model. The record is from RNAcentral. Lineage: Bacteria; Bacillati; Actinomycetota; Actinomycetes.